UUCAAGUCAAGAAAUCUUUAUUUAAGUCUGAAGUUAGAAUGACAUACUUUAAUUAGUGAUAAAUAACAUUUCAAGGUAAAUGAGAAAGACCCUGCCUUUUAUUAUAUGAAAUGUUUAUAAAUAUAAUGGUUUUAAUUUUCUCUAUCUUCAUGAAAAUAUCCGUAAGUAGAAUUCCAGGUAAGCAUGAAUGUCUGCUUUCUCAGUCAUCUACAUCUAUAAUGGGCCUGCUCACAUGAAGGGUAUCAGGUUAUCCAGAUUACAAUGAUAGAAAUACCAAUAAAGAAGUGAACAAUGUUCAUGGUACAACUUAGCUCCUAUAAAAUCUUGGCAAAUGUUACCCAAAUGUAGCCUUUUCUUCGAAACCCAAACAACCUGUUAUCUUCCCAUUUUCCCUUCCAUAUAUAACAGGCAUCAUUUUAUACUUCGCUGUACAUUCUUUGUACUAUUAAUCACUUACUUAAUUUCUUUUCUGCCACCUUCCACAGACUUAAAGAACAGACACACUCAAUAAAGUAGAAAACUAUAAAUAUAUAAAAGUUGAGUCCAGGAAAAUUCAGAAAAGCAAACUGAAGGAGAAAGUUAAACUAUGAAUGUAUAGACUAUUACUUAUUAGGAGUGGAAAGUGGUAAGAAUAGUUUACUGUUUACCAAAAUCAGGUUUUCUUCUUGGGCAUGCAUUUAGCUUGCACUCCCUAGCCUCCCUGCAGCUGGAGGCCUUUGUUUUAAUUUCACCCAGUAGGAUGUGAAUACACAUGAUAUGUGCUACUUGGUCUAUGAAAAUCUUCCUUGUGAAAAUCUUCCAUACUCCUUCCUCUUUCUUCUUGACUGAGAAGGACAUGACUAUAAUGACAUCAGAAGCCCUGUACUGAGGAUGGCAGAGCCUCUGUUAUGCUAGGGCCUUAAAUAACUGUGUGGAAGAGAGGAGUCCAGCUGAUUCACAUAUCUGCCCAAAAUUGUCAUCUGAGCCACGGCACAAAUUUUGAUUGUCUUUGAGCCACUAGUCAUGAUGUGUUUGUCACUUUAGCCUAGUAUAGCACAAAUAAUACAUGUGACUGACACAAAACACAAUAAACCCACAUUUUCUAUUUGAAUUUCAGCAGAUCUUUUAACAAGUAGGAAAUAGUCUAGGCAGAUGUUUAUCCAGCAAAUAGUUCAGGGCAUGGGUUAGUCUUGGUUUUCAACAUUGGAGUAGAUCUAAGUUGGCACAGGGGAAUAACUGACUUUCCAAAAUGUUAAACCCAGAAUACUUGGGCAGUGUUACCAUAUGCCUCAAGAAGCUUCUGGGGCAGGAGGUGUUCAGUUGAAGGACUUUAUUUGUUCAAAUAACACAGGACCAUAACCAGAGACUAAGGAGCCUACAUUACCUGUGAGUCAUUGAGCUGCAACCAGGAAGAAGAACUAUGGUCAGUGUCUGGAGUCAAGCAAGUUGGCAAAAUCAAGAACCUAGCAGGAUGGCAGGUCAAUAUAGAAGCCAAGAAAUCCAGGAUCUAGGCUGCUGGGUUCAAAUCCCAGCUUCAUUCCUUACUAAUUAUGGAGUCUUGUGCAACUUAUCAAUGUCUCUGGGCUGGUCUCUUUCUUCUUCUAUAAAGCUUGGAUAAUAAAGCUAUAUGUCUAAAAGGGUUGCAUGAAAAUUAAAUAUACCUAAAGUUUAGUGUCUAGCAUAUGGUAAACUAUCAAUAAAUGAUGACCACUUUUUAUUAAGACAAAUGAGAAAAAUGAUGGAGCACACCUUGGGGAAUUAGGCUCUGGCAUAAACCAGGAGCAAGGCCAGAAAGGGUAAGAACCAGAGUUUUGCUCAAUACAAAUUCCAUCUGAAGCUGUUGCCUUUGACCUUUGGUCUUGCCCCAUCUGGAUGUAAGGUGUGGAGUAGCAUAUAGGAGCAAACAGGCCACUUACAUGGGGCAGGGGGCAAUCACAGCAAGUAUCACCUAUCCCUGAGGGAAGGACCCCCAAGGCCUGGCCGACUCAGAGGGGGACACCAGGCAGUGUCCGUUCAUUGAGAUUUACCAAAAAAAGGGCUGAAAAGUGGAGCUUGUAUGAGUGUCAGAGUUUCAGAUCUUCUAAAUAUCAGCUGUGUGACUUCGGGGUAAGUCUUUGAAACUAAUUUUUUCUCACUUAAAAUAUGAUAGUGUUUAAAGAACUGCAUUAUGACUAAAUCAGAUAACGUUAUCUUAUGAAAUACCUAAUAGGACAUAGCUCAAUAAAUCUUUAACACAUGUCAGUGGAAGGGUGGAAACGUGUCUAUAUGGUCUGUGCUGAUGGGUAAGUGGCUGGCCAGGCAUGGGAAAAAAAUCAGUUUAUUCUAAAAACCACACUUAGAGCAUUACUAGUUGUGAAUAAACAUUUAACAAUGCCCAGUGUAUGCUGAGUUGGUUUAUACUUAAGAAUCUGUGAACAAGUGUAUGCUCCACCCAGUAGACCAGCUUCAGAAACUUCCAUUUCCUCAGUAGCAUCCCCUGUUCCUAGGGCAGCUCUGAGCCAUGGUCUGGGACACCUUUCUGCUUCUUCCCUGCUCCAAGAGUCUCCCCAUGGCCUCCAUCAUAUUCUAUCCUACCCCUGUGUUAUGGCUCCCAGCUCACAGACAGAAGUUACAGGUGUCUAUAUUUGCAUUCUCUUUAGUAUGAAGCAUUCAACCCCUCCACUCUUGUGCUGGAUCCUCCUCUGGAACCUUCUCAAUGGCUGAGUUCUAGGGUACAAUGAACAUCUAUUGCAGACUUUGCAAGGAAACUAAUCCCAUGGAAGUGGAUUAUCUUCCCCUUUGCUCCUACAAAAACUAUAUGAUAAAAAUCCAUUCAGUCUGAAUAAGGAAGCAAAGCAAGAAAAGUAGGAUAUUACAGGAGGAAUGAGUGAAUUUGUAAAUGGAACCUUAUUUGAACUAUGGAGUCACCAGCCUAUGACUGGAGAAAGGAGAUAACAUUUAUAUUUCUGCUCCAAAACGACUCCAAUCCCCACCUUGUGAAGGAAAUACCCCUAAGUUUUUCUGAGUGUUCACAGUAAGGCUGACCACGCAGCCUUCCUCAGCAAUUACCACGAAAGCCUUCUUGAAACAUCAGUCUUCUCUUCAAGCUGGUGUUCACCAUCUGCAAAGGUCCUGUUUUUCCUGCUUACCAAAGGCCUGGAGAUAGAGCCUUCUGGAUUUAUCUUUUUUUUUUUUCCUUUUUAUCAUACAUCCAGGCAGCAGAUGUUCAGUGGAGUCCAAAGCAGUAUCCCUUAUAUUGCCACAAACUCUAUGACUGGAUCUUUAGAGCCAGUAAAGGAAGGAUGUUUAUAUACUGACAGCCUCUUUUUAUAUCCUCUUUCUACGGGUCCCUCAGGAACAAGGACAGUUUGGUUAGAGCAGUAGGCCCUUUUCUUUACUCUGAAUCCCAAUUGAUUUAUAACCCUCACAGUGACCCCCAGAGCAGAGAAGAUCAAGCAGGGCAAACCUGGCAAUCCCAAGUAAUUGAUGCUGACCAUCGGCACUGCUGACAGGCUUGAAGCCCCUUACCUUUGGAUUCAUGUGUUAUACAAGGCCAAAACCCUCUUUUCCUUACUCCUCCCUAAAUCUCACUGAGUUUCCACCAAGUACCUCUACCACACCUCCAUCAGACUGUCCCACGGAGCUGCUGACUUCUUGCUCAAAGCACACCUCCACCACCACCUCCUUUGAGGAAAGUGGUUUGACCUCCUACUUGCAUAUGUUGGGCUUUUAGCUAUCCGUUGUUGAUGUCUAUUGUUAGUUGGUUUUAUUCCAAUUUUGCAUAAACCAUAGUGUAAGUCUAAGAUACAAAUUUUGCAAGGAACAGGAUGUUGUCAUAGGCAAUAACUUGUUGCUAAAUGACCUUUUCUUCACUUGUUUUAUCAUACCUUUAAUUCUUACAGACAUCAACUGGCAUUAUAUUGACCCAUUUCCCACUUACUUUUGGCUUUUGGUGGGUUUUAGCACAAGCAUUUUUUCCUAUAUAUUUAUGACCAAACUUACUCCUUAUCAUUCU
RNAcentral lists this long non-coding RNA (3973 nucleotides) under Canis lupus familiaris (dog). RNAcentral describes it as "lncRNA (ENSCAFG00845016390.1)". Lineage: Eukaryota; Metazoa; Chordata; Mammalia; Carnivora; Canidae. The record is from RNAcentral.